This 74-nucleotide transfer RNA is filed under the name Bifidobacterium longum. RNAcentral's name for it is "tRNA-Met". It matches the Rfam family "tRNA". From Rfam's summary of the family: Transfer RNA (tRNA) molecules are approximately 80 nucleotides in length. Their secondary structure includes four short double-helical elements and three loops (D, anti-codon, and T loops). The record is from RNAcentral. Lineage: Bacteria; Bacillati; Actinomycetota; Actinomycetes; Bifidobacteriales; Bifidobacteriaceae.
GCAUUGCCAGCUCAGCCGGUUAGAGCACCCCGCUCAUAACGGGGAGGUCGUCGGUUCGAUUCCGGCGCAAUGCA